Molecule: ribosomal RNA, 323 nt
Filed under: uncultured eukaryote
Lineage: Eukaryota
Description: partial 18S ribosomal RNA
Rfam family: Eukaryotic small subunit ribosomal RNA
Source: RNAcentral
CCCCUAGAUGUUCUGGGCCGCACGCGCGCUACACUGAACAGUUCAACAAGUCUUAACCUUGGCCGAUAGGUCUGGGUAAUCUUUGAACGCUGUUCGUGAUUGGGAUAGACCUUUGCAAUUAUGGGUCUUCAACGAGGAAUUCCUAGUAAACGCAAGUCAUCAGCUUGCAUUGAUUACGUCCCUGCCCUUUGUACACACCGCCCGUCGCACCUACCGAUUGAAUGGUCCGGUGAAUUAUUCGGACUGCAACGCAACCAGUUCCUGGAUGCAGUUGCGGAAAGUUUUGUGAACCUUACCACUUAGAGGAAGGAGAANUCGUAACA